GUACUCCUACGGGGAGGCAGCAGUGGGGGAAUAUUGCACAAUGGGCGCAAGCCUGAUGCAGCCAUGCCGCGUGUGUGAAGAAGGCCUUCGGGUUGUAAAGCACUUUCAGUCGUGAGGAAGGUAGUGUAGUUAAUAGCUGCAUUAUUUGACGUUAGCGACAGAAGAAGCACCGGCUAACUCCGUGCCAGCAGCCGCGGUAAUACGGAGGGUGCGAGCGUUAAUCGGAAUUACUGGGCGUAAAGCGCAUGCAGGUGGUUUGUUAAGUCAGAUGUGAAAGCCCGGGGCUCAACCUCGGAAUAGCAUUUGAAACUGGCAGACUAGAGUACUGUAGAGGGGGGUAGGAAUUUCAGGUGUAGCGGUGAAAUGCGUAGAGAUCUGAAGGAAUACCGGUGGCGAAGGCGGCCCCCUGGACAGAUACUGACACUCAGAUGCGAAAGCGUGGGGAGCAAACAGGAUUAGAUACCCUGGUAG
Molecule: ribosomal RNA, 471 nt
Filed under: uncultured bacterium
Lineage: Bacteria
Description: bacterial SSU rRNA
Rfam family: Bacterial small subunit ribosomal RNA
Source: RNAcentral